Long non-coding RNA from Cercocebus atys (sooty mangabey), 1950 nucleotides. NCBI's taxonomy places the organism in Eukaryota, Metazoa, Chordata, Mammalia, Primates, Cercopithecidae. The record is from Ensembl.
CUACAGGACCUUGUCUGACUCAGUCUUACGGGGGGGUCUCAUCCCAUGGAGGGGAUCCCCAGCACUUCAGGGGACUGAAACCCCAGUGGGACCUGCUCAGGCCACUGGCCCCAGCUUGUAAAGCCGAGUUCUCUCACACUUACCGUCCCCACAGAAAUCCUUCGGGCUCACCCUGAGACUGUGGGAUGUGCUCAUCUUGGAGGGCAAUCGAUUACUGACAGCCAUGGCCCAUGCAUCAUUCAAAAUACACAGGAGUAAGUCUCAUGUGCCCGAGGGUGCUUGGGGGAACACGUGGGCCUGGGGGAAGUGUCCUUAUACUGCCUGCUCCAUCUGGCUAGGGGGGUCUGGCCUGGUGGGCUGGGCAAGGCAUGAUGACACUGAGUCCACCCCCUACAUGACCCAGAUGAAAGUCAGGAGUGUGGUGAGCACUUCCCUGCCUGGCCUUCCUCAACUGUAGCCUCCUGUGCACAGCUGGACCCCGGGGUGGCCAAAAAGGACCAGGCACCACCCAGUGGGAGGUGGGCCUGGUGGAAAUGGGGUGCAGGCACUGACCCCUCCCAGGGAACCCUCCUGGCCUGAUGCCCGCCCUGUCCCUAGAGCGCCUUAUGAAGCUUUCCUGGAGCACCAUCUGGGAGUUUCAGGAGCGACUGUCUCAGAGCUGGGCCCUGGAGGACAACACAGUCCUCAGGAAUCUUCAAGCCUCUAUGAAGGAACUCACAAAAAAACACUGGGACCUGCCACCCCCAGCCAAGCUGGAGCAAUGGUCCUCAAGGGUGUCCCCUGGCAUUGAGCCCCCCCAUGAGGGGGACAGACUGGCCGUCCCCACCCCACCAGCUCAGCUCCAGGAGCUCAUGCCAUCAGUCCCCCUGGGACAAAAGCCUUGUCCUCUGCCAGCCUGGCCUAAUGGGGCUGUCCCCAAGGCCCAGGCUGAGGUCCAUCAGCACGAAGGGGCUUCUCAAGAACCCAGAACAGAAGACUGCUGUCUGAGGGGCCCGGAGUCUCGAGAUGACGGCAGCCUGUCCCCGGGUGAGGUCAGGCUUUGUAUUACACGGAAACACUUGUCCAGGAACGCUAGGCCACAGCUCCACACACACCCGCAUGUCGGGGGUCCAUGUUUCCUGUGCUGCCAUUUUGAACACAGCUCCUGGGACUCUGAGGGGGCUUCCCCAGAACCCAGGGCAGAAGACUGCUGUCCAACAGGCCCAGAGGCUCGAGAUGAGGGUAGGAUGUCCCCUGGUGAGGUCAGGCUUCGUAUUACACGGAAACAUUUGUCCAGGAACUCUACACCACAGCUCCACACAGACCUGCAUGUCAGGGGCCCAGGGGCUUCUCAAGAACCCAGGGCAGCAGGCUGUUCUCAGGGGCGCCCAGAGGUUCAAGAUGACGGCAGCCUGUCCCCCGGUGAGGUCAGGCUUUGUAUUACACGGAAACACUUGUCCAGGAACUCUACACCACAGCUCCACACAGACCCGCAUGUCGGGGGUCCAUGUUUCCUGUGCUGCCAUUUUGAACACGGCUCCUGGGACUCUGUCACUUCUCCAUCUUCUGUGGACAGCAGCCCUGGAACAACAAGACGCACCCCGCCCAGCGAGCCCACUGGGACCGCGACACCAGGCCCUGCCUGGGUUUAUGACAGGGAGGAGGCACUUCGAGAGAUACCCCUGCAACAAGGUGUCCUCUGCCCGCUACUCCCCUCAGCAGAAGAACAACAUGGCAUGGAGGGAGCCCAGGCAGCACCUGCCCGGCUGCCUCGCAGCCCCAGAUGGCUGCUGGACCUUGAUUUUUACUGUUAUUUUUUUUUUAUUUUAUAUUUUUGUCUUCUUGGCCUUGGGAAAUACUUAGCGGGGGACUUGGUCCCCUCACGGCCUCAGGAGGGAAGGCUGAGCAUGAGGUUCCCACAGCCCCAGCCAGGCAGCAGCGUGCCCUGGGGCCCCUGACCCCACCUGUGGG